CAUGCAAGUUUGUCAUCUCUCACAAUUAUAAGAAGGGUUUGGACUAAAUCAUUCUCGCGCCUUUUCGUUUUUGGUAUUUUGAUUCACCUGCUUCUUAUUUUUUCGAUAAAUUCACCCUUAGUUCUAUAACCGCUGUAUUUUUUUGGUAAAAUAAAAAGAGAAAACAUUGUAUUUUCAUUCAACCUUAAUAUUGUGGAUAGACUAACCCUUUCCCUUCUCUCCUUCGAAACGCUCUGCUCUCCGGCGAUCUCGUUCCAUCUGCUCAUCAUCGCUCCAUAUGCUCAUCAUCGCUCCAUAUGCUCAUCAUCGCCGUCGAUUUACUUACUCGUGUCACCAUCGAUUCGUCUACUCGCAUCACCGUCACUCCGUUUGCUCUUCGUCAGCUGCUUCGUCUGCUCUCUGUCACUGUCGAAGUGCCCGGCCAUUCUAGCUCCAAAAUCUCCAACGCAGAGUGUUUCUUUGCAUUUCGUUCUCUAAAACCUUGGAUAUACAUGAGAGGAGAACUUCUGCAUGUUUUUUCUGGCCAGAAUCUGAGACCCUUUUGGCAUGUGCUGCUUCCUUUUCCUAUGCUAUAGUUUCAGGUGAUGUUGGAUCAUUCAAAGUGUUGUUUGCAAAAUCUAUGUAAUUCAGUUUGCAAGAUAGUUUUCUUUGUGUAACGCAAGUGGUGCAAUCAUGCAAUUCCCUUAUAUUUCUAAUUCCUUUGUUUUUCUUGGUAGAUCUAACCUGCUACGUUUGCCCAUGUCUAGCAAUUAUGAGUUGCAAAGCUGGUUCACAUAUUCCAUGCCUCUUUUAUUUCUAUGUACAACUGGAUUUUGGGUAUCCGUUAUUGCAGCAUUAAGUUUAGAUUGCUUCAUUUACAAAUUGCUGGAAUUGCAUGCUAUGGUGCUAGCUUUAUUGAAUGAAGGGUUAUCAUUUUUUGAUGCAAUUCUUAUUUUUCCUAUGUUUUAGAUUGCUUGGACAUUCAUUUCCAUUUGUACAAGAUUUGUAUAGUUUUAAGAAUUCCAGGAUUUGUAUAUAUUCACAUUCAGCCUCUAAAUGUACCUUCAAAAUUUAUCAAUCAAUGAAUUAUUAUUUCUUAA
RNA transcript from Pyrus x bretschneideri (Chinese white pear), 1079 nucleotides. RefSeq lists it as uncharacterized. The transcript is spliced from 2 exons. The record is from RefSeq and is a predicted model, not a curated record. Lineage: Eukaryota; Viridiplantae; Streptophyta; Magnoliopsida; Rosales; Rosaceae.